RNAcentral lists this long non-coding RNA (2477 nucleotides) under Linum usitatissimum (flax). RNAcentral's name for it is "long non-coding RNA (LUSI_LNC003518)". The record is from RNAcentral. Lineage: Eukaryota; Viridiplantae; Streptophyta; Magnoliopsida; Malpighiales; Linaceae.
UUCCAGUUUCCUCACGUUGACCUACAACCAUUUAAACUAGCUCUUGUUUCUCAUUCAUUGCAACAACAUUCACCUCAUACCAAAUGAAGUAACCGCAUCCUUUAUAAACUUUAGAAACAUAUUGGGGGACCAAAAAAAUUUCUUUCUGGAUUGGUGGACGUGUGGGAUAUACGCCCGGAAUCCGCAAUUUCACAAUACUUCUUCAUUAUCAUUGUUGAACUCAUCCUUGAGAAGGGGUCGUUUCCAUUGGAACAUUAUCUCAUCAAUUUCUUUACGAUACACGAAACCCUAAUGUCACAACCCAUACUAAUAACAUCCCAAGGUAUCAUGUACUAUCACGUGGAUGAAAUGCUUACUUGACUGACUCAGUUGCGGAGUGUUAGAUAUUACAAGAUUAAAUAAUUGCUUGCUUCUAAAGCUUUCAUCAAUAGCGUCAAUGGCGGAUUGCUGCGAUGGAAAGGGGAAAGGGGAGAAGGGAGAUAUAUUAUCCCAAACAUUUAAUUUUUAACUUCUUUAAACCAAAAAUUACUUGCUUUUUCUUACACCCACACAUUGCAUUCUGACACAUGGGUUGAAUUGGAAAAGGUUUCCCGUCCAGUACAUUUUGGCGGAAGCGAGUUUUUAAAUUGGGUCGCGGUUUGAGAAUCAUCACUUUGAGUUGCUUGAUUGAUGGUUGGAUAUCUCGCUUACCUGGGAUGCGUGGUUCUUCCGCAUGGUGAAGAGAAUGGAAGAUGACUAAAUUCAUGGAUGGCGAGUUGAAGAAAUUUCGACUCAAACCAACAUGAAUAAAAUACGACCUUGGAACCUUAUAAAAAAUGAUAAACCUACGAGAUUAUUAAAGUCGAUAACCCCUAUGUAGUCCUCCAUUAGGUCAGGGAAAGAAAUAUCAAUUAAAUGGACCCUUCACUUGUUGGUACUUCGACACAAACAAUCUAUUGGAUCAAUCCGACCAUCAAUCCGAUUGAAAUAAUAAAAGGAGGUACUAAAUAUUAAUUUUUAUGUGUUUUUAUCUCCAAAUCUUCAAAAAUCUAGAUUUAUUAGUUCUCUGAACCCACCACCAUCAUGAAACCCCCACUUUGUAUUUGCUAUAAGAGAGACUAGGAUCUUGAAAAUUGAUAUUUUUUUAAGCUUGUAAACUGGUUUUUGAAGAGCAACAAUGAAACCAAACUGUUUCGUGCUUCCUACUUGCGAGGGCCUGUGGGAAAGAACCACGACGACAAACGAAAGAAUGGAGGGGAGAAAAAUAUCUAAGACGAAGAUGGGAGAUGAAGAGAUGAGGAGAGAGAGCGGAAUAGAGAGAGUUUGUUAGACAAAAAGAAACCUAUUACUUCUGUUUUUUUUAAUUAUUAAAUUUCCUAUUUAAAUCCGGGCCUUCCGAUAAAAUACAACUAAAAGUGACUAAAUCUAAGGGUAGAGAAAACUUCAGCUAAGUGCUGACAUUUAAAUUUGACACCAACCUAUUAAAUCACUAGAAGCUCCUUUGGUUCACUUAUUUUUUUAUUUGAAGGAUUUUAUAUAUGAAUUGUGUCCCUUUGAUUUAAAAGAGUUGUCUCGUUUGUUUUUUUAUUGUAAAAAAAGAUUUAGUGUUGCGUAUUAACUUUUAUUUAUGAUCAUUUUAUUUUUUACACACCAAGUACAUUAUAGCGAAACCAAUAAAUUAAAAAUAGAUUAGAAAUAGGAAAAGAGUUCUGACACGCUUAUAAUACGUACUAAAAAAUACUCAAAUUACAGAAGUAACUAGGGUCAAAAUUCCUAAAAUUUCAAAAAUGUGUUUCAAAAUAAUAAUUAAUUAAUUGUCAAAUAUUCAAUUAAAAAUAUUUAAUUACUAAUUCACCUAAACCACCCUAAUCAAAUUAUAAUUCAAAAAACUAAUAAUUAGAUAUUAAAAGUUAAAAAUGAAUGGCGCACAUUUGUCCGCCACCUAUGAUUACAUCAACACACUUACGAUCAACAGUCCAGGCGACCAAUAUAGCGCAUGUGUUAUUGUGGUCGGCGCACGUAAAUGGCACCGAUGUUUGUACUAUUGGCGCACAUAACUAGUGUCGAACUUUUUUUCUCGAUUCUCUAACCUGUAAAUGGCGGAUCUGAGGUGGCGGCGACGGUGGCGGAUCUGAAGUGGCAGCGGCAGAUCUGGGCUACGGCGGCUGCAUAUUUAGGCUGCAGCGGACCUUCAAGGCGGCGGAUUUGGUGGCAGCGGCUGCCGAUCUGGAUGCGGUAGAACUUCUGACGGCUGCAAAUACCGGGUGGCGGCGACGACUCGGCCUGGUAGGAGAAGAACAUGGAGGUGAGAGAGAUGAGGGUUUUGAGUUAGGCCAUGAAUUUGUUUUGAGUUAGGUCGUGUGUGUAUUUAAUUAUUAGGUUCGAAAGGCAUUCGCGUAAUUAUACUCAUGAAAUUCAAAUGUUUGGGCUUUUUUAGCAAUCCUCAUGAUCAUCAUCGAAGAUUAAAACUCGAAUUAAUUCUAAGGAAACAUUUGGCG